AAAUUGAAGAGUUUGAUCAUGGCUCAGAUUGAACGCUGGCGGCAGGCCUAACACAUGCAAGUCGAACGGUAGCAGGAAGCAGCUUGCUGCUUUGCUGACGAGUGGCGGACGGGUGAGUAAUGUCUGGGAAACUGCCUGAUGGAGGGGGAUAACUACUGGAAACGGUGGCUAAUACCGCAUAAUGUCGCAAGACCAAAGAGGGGGACCUUCGGGCCUCUUGCCAUCAGAUGUGCCCAGAUGGGAUUAGCUUGUUGGUGAGGUAACGGCUCACCAAGGCGACGAUCCCUAGCUGGUCUGAGAGGAUGACCAGCCACACUGGAACUGAGACACGGUCCAGACUCCUACGGGAGGCAGCAGUGGGGAAUAUUGCACAAUGGGCGCAAGCCUGAUGCAGCCAUGCCGCGUGUAUGAAGAAGGCCUUCGGGUUGUAAAGUACUUUCAGCGGGGAGGAAGGUGUUGUGGUUAAUAACC
Molecule: ribosomal RNA, 471 nt
Filed under: Salmonella enterica
Lineage: Bacteria; Pseudomonadati; Pseudomonadota; Gammaproteobacteria; Enterobacterales; Enterobacteriaceae
Also listed under: 1 other name
Description: bacterial SSU rRNA
Rfam family: Bacterial small subunit ribosomal RNA
Source: RNAcentral